RNAcentral lists this transfer RNA (85 nucleotides) under Deltaproteobacteria bacterium. RNAcentral describes it as "tRNA-Leu". It matches the Rfam family "tRNA". Rfam says of the family: Transfer RNA (tRNA) molecules are approximately 80 nucleotides in length. Their secondary structure includes four short double-helical elements and three loops (D, anti-codon, and T loops). Further hydrogen bonds mediate the characteristic L-shaped molecular structure. tRNAs have two regions of fundamental functional importance: the anti-codon, which is responsible for specific mRNA codon recognition, and the 3' end, to which the tRNAs corresponding amino acid is attached (by aminoacyl-tRNA synthetases). tRNAs cope with the degeneracy of the genetic code in two manners: having more than one tRNA (with a specific anti-codon) for a particular amino acid; and 'wobble' base-pairing, i.e. permitting non-standard base-pairing at the 3rd anti-codon position. RNAcentral also lists the same sequence under 1 other name. Lineage: Bacteria; Pseudomonadati; Myxococcota; Myxococcia. The record is from RNAcentral.
GCCAGAGUGGCGGAACUGGUAGACGCGCUGGAUUCAAAAUCCAGUAAGCUUUACGCUUGUGAGGGUUCAAGUCCCUCCUCUGGUA